AUUGAACGCUAGCGGAAUGCUUUACACAUGCAAGUCGAACGGCAGCACGGGGGCAACCCUGGUGGCGAGUGGCGAACGGGUGAGUAAUACAUCGGAACGUGCCCAGUCGUGGGGGAUAACGUAGCGAAAGUUACGCUAAUACCGCAUACGAUCUACGGAUGAAAGCGGGGGACCGUAAGGCCUCGCGCGAUUGGAGCGGCCGAUGUCAGAUUAGGUAGUUGGUGAGGUAAAGGCUCACCAAGCCGACGAUCUGUAGCUGGUCUGAGAGGACGACCAGCCACACUGGGACUGAGACGCGGCCCAGACUCCUACGGGAGGCAGCAGUGGGGAAUUUUGGACAAUGGGCGCAAGCCUGAUCCAGCCAUUCCGCGUGCAGGACGAAGGCCUUCGGGUUGUAAACUGCUUUUGUACGGAACGAAAAGGCUCUGGUUAAUACCUGGGGCUCAUGACGGUACCGUAAGAAUAAGCACCGGCUAACUACGUGCCAGCAGCCGCCGCCG
RNAcentral lists this ribosomal RNA (500 nucleotides) under uncultured bacterium. Its description in RNAcentral is "partial 16S ribosomal RNA". It matches the Rfam family "Bacterial small subunit ribosomal RNA", at positions 30 to 523 of the family's 1533-position model. The record is from RNAcentral.